AGAAAGAAGAAGCGCAUCAAGCAACAGUUGAGUCCAGAGACGCCGCAGUGGAGGAAUGGAAAGCACAAGCGCAGCAGUGGCAAGUGCGAGCUUCGCAGCUUGAAGAAGAGUUGGAUGCUCAGGUGAAGGCCCUGCAAGACAG
RNAcentral lists this non-coding RNA (142 nucleotides) under uncultured Symbiodinium. Lineage: Eukaryota; Dinophyceae; Suessiales; Symbiodiniaceae. The record is from RNAcentral.